RNAcentral lists this long non-coding RNA (1558 nucleotides) under Capsella rubella. RNAcentral describes it as "long non-coding RNA (CRUB_LNC003057)". Lineage: Eukaryota; Viridiplantae; Streptophyta; Magnoliopsida; Brassicales; Brassicaceae. The record is from RNAcentral.
UUCAAGUCAUUGUUUAUGUACUACUGUGGUCUGAUGGCAAAACGUGUUAUUUGUUGAGGAGGGUUUUUGGGUUCGAAUCCGGCUAACAACACUGAAUUUUUUUUUUUUUUUUAAUAAUCUUCUUCUUCUUCUCUUUCAACCGAACUGUAUCUGCUUCUUACCUUUUUCCAGUGAACUUCUUAAUCUCAGAUAUCUACCACGCUUCAUCUCAUUGUCUUGUUUGAUCUCUUCUUCCUUGUUCUCUAGAUCUAGAUGUCGCAAUAAGAUCUGAGAUCUGUGAAGAUGCGAGGAAAGCUUUAUCGACUUAAGGGUUCUUCCGCAUAGGUCACAAGGACAAUCAAAUCGAACCCACAAACACUAAUCCCUGACCUGAACUGUUGCAUUCGGUAGUAACAACAAUUAAAAACAACAAAUUGAUUCAAUUCAAUCGAAGAAGAAGCAGAUUAAGAAAAAAAAACAAAAAAGGAAAAUAAAUUUAACUAGUUAUCAGGUGGAAUCGAACCCACCAACCCCCUUUCACAAAAGUCACGUUUUGCCAUCUGACCAAAAUCAUUAUUGGCUAUUAAAUGAUACCAAUAGUUUAUAUACUUUUAAACAUCUGAAGUUAAAAUUUAACUCUGUUAUAUAGUUUUGUAACGGCGUUAACAACUGUUAAAUCGUUGGUAUGAAUUCUCUAACCAUUAUAUAAACAAAGAUUUUUUAUGACAACAUAAAACAAACAAAGUAUUUUUGUUCCAACCAAAAAAGAUGAGAUAUUAAACGUCCAAAUAAAAAAUAAAUGGCGUAUUUUUUGGCUUUUUUCCCUAAUUUUUUACGUUUACUUAUUAUGAUAUAUGUUACGGUGGUCUGAUGGUUAAGCUUCAUAAUUUUCAAACGAGGGUUCACGGGUUCAAUACCAUCAAACUACAAUUUCGUUUUUUUUUUAAACUGUUUUUUAUUAAACUUCUUCUUCUUCAAUUGAACAACAGAUCUGCUUUUUAACUUUUUCCGGCGAAUUUCUUAGUUUUAGAUCUCUCCCUGUCUUAUUUUGUUUUGUUUUACAUCUCCUUCGUUUUCCAAAUCCAGAAGCAGCAAUAAGAUCUGAGAUCUCUCAAGAUCUGAGAUCUCUCACGCUUCAUUCUCUCUUUCGCCAUUGAUUCAAGCUCGGGUUGGCAAAGCUCCUGCGAUUAUCUCCAGGAAAGUAAAUACACAAGACCAAUCCGAAUCGAGCCCACAAACACUAACAACAAAUCGAUUUUAUUUAAUCGAAGAAGCAGAUCAGAAAAAAAAAAAAAAUUGAAGGAAAAAGAAGCAGGAAAAAAAAUCGAAGAAGAAGGAAAAAAAAAAAUCGAUCAUGAAAACAAAAUUGUUGGUAGGUUGAAUCGAACCUACAAAGCCUCACCUACAAAACCUACGUCUUACCAUCAGACCACAGAAUCAUAUGGCAUAUUAAGUGAACCUUAUAAAAUAUAAAGACUAAAUAAACCCGAAGUUAAAAUUUAACACCGUCACAUAGUUUUGUAACGCCGUUGACGGCUGUUAAUUCGUUGGUACGAAUUCACCGAUCAUUAUAUAUACA